GUGCACCAGGCGCGAAAACUUUGCAAUACACGAAAGUGUGACAGGGUCGUCCCGAGUGCCGACCGCUGAGGUUGGCUUUUACCCAGUCUAGAAAGCUGGGGGAAUAAGGAGAGGGCAAGUCUGGUGUCAGCCGCCGCGGUAAUACCAGCUCUCCGAGUGGUGUGGACGUUUAUUGGGCCUAAAGCAUCCGUAGCUGGCUGGGCAAGUCCCCUGUUAAACCCACCGAUUUAAUCGUUGGUCUGCGGGUGAUACUGCUCGGCUAGGGGACGAGAGAGGCAGACGGUAUUCUCGGGGUAGGGGUGAAAUCCUAUAAUCCCAGGAGGACCACCAGUGGCGAAGGCUGUCUGCUAGAACGCGCCCGACGGUGAGGGAUGAAAGCUGGGGGAGCGAACCGGAUUAGAUACCCGGGUAGUCCCAGCUGUAAACGAUGCAGACUAGGUGUUUGGACGGCCACGUGCCGCUCUAGUGCCGCAGGGAAGCUGUUAAGUCUGCCGCCUGGGGA
Molecule: ribosomal RNA, 502 nt
Filed under: uncultured bacterium
Lineage: Bacteria
Description: bacterial SSU rRNA
Rfam family: Archaeal small subunit ribosomal RNA
Source: RNAcentral